GACGAACGCUGGCGGCGUGCUUAACACAUGCAAGUCGAACGGAAAGGCCCUGCUUUUGUGGGGUGCUCGAGUGGCGAACGGGUGAGUAACACGUGAGUAACCUGCCCUUGACUUUGGGAUAACUUCAGGAAACUGGGGCUAAUACCGGAUAGGAGCUCCUGCUGCAUGGUGGGGGUUGGAAAGUUUCGGCGGUUGGGGAUGGACUCGCGGCUUAUCAGCUUGUUGGUGGGGUAGUGGCUUACCAAGGCUUUGACGGGUAGCCGGCCUGAGAGGGUGACCGGCAGCAUGGGGACUGAGAUACGGCCCAGACGACGACGGGAGGCAGCAGUGGGGAAUAUGGCACAAUGGGCGGAAGCAGGAGGCAGCAGCGCCGGGUGCGGGAGGACGGCCUGCGGGGUGGAAACCGCUUUCGCGGGGGACGAAGCGUGAGGGACGGUAAUGGGUAAAGAAGCAACGGCGAACGACGUG
Molecule: ribosomal RNA, 468 nt
Filed under: uncultured bacterium
Lineage: Bacteria
Description: partial 16S ribosomal RNA
Rfam family: Bacterial small subunit ribosomal RNA
Source: RNAcentral